UGGGGAAUAUUGCACAAUGGGCGCAAGCCUGAUGCAGCCAUGCCGCGUGUAUGAAGAAGGCCUUCAGGUUGUAAAGUACUUUCAGCGGGGAGGAAGGGAGUAAAGUUAAUACCUUUGCUCAUUGACGUUACCCGCAGAAGAAGCACCGGCUAACUCCGUGCCAGCAGCCGCGGUAAUACGGAGGGUGCAAGCGUUAAUCGGAAUUACUGGGCGUAAAGCGCACGCAGGCGGUUUGUUAAGUCAGAUGUGAAAUCCCCGGGCUCAACCUGGGAACUGCAUCUGAUACUGGCAAGCUUGAGUCUCGUAGAGGGGGGUAGAAUUCCAGGUGUAGCGGUGAAAUGCGUAGAGAUCUGGAGGAAUACCGGUGGCGAAGGCGGCCCCCUGGACGAAGACUGACGCUCAGGUGCGAAAGCGUGGGGAGCAAACAGG
RNAcentral lists this ribosomal RNA (429 nucleotides) under Chloroflexota bacterium. RNAcentral describes it as "Chloroflexi bacterium partial 16S ribosomal RNA". It matches the Rfam family "Bacterial small subunit ribosomal RNA", at positions 355 to 776 of the family's 1533-position model. The record is from RNAcentral. Lineage: Bacteria; Bacillati; Chloroflexota.